AAUUUCUUUUGAAUCAAGAUUUUUGGUCGCGACCCUAUUCGUCUCAUCUCUUCGUCGGAGGUGGGUUUGGAGGCGGCAUCAUCCGGGCCGGAUGAAGCAUCCAUGGCGAGGAACAGAUUUGAGAAGAAGGAGACGGAGAAAGAAGAUGAGGUUUUGAGAAAUUAUGAAAAUUGCAAUUUGGUCCUAUGCAAUUUGGAGAGAGGGCAGCGGCUGCGGCGUGGUUGAAUCGGAGAGUCGGCCAAUGAUUCUUCGAGUUUGACAUUCUUCUUCUUCUUAUUCUUCCUGAAGGUACGAAUUAAGUUUUCACAAAUUGGAAGAAAAUGCUAUGGAAAUUGAAAGAAAUUUCUUUGAAGGGUUUUUGUAUAUUUUUUUGUUUGGGCAGGGAUGUGCCGAAAAAUUUUGAGGAGCCGUUUUUCUUCCAUUUUGUUUUCUUGGAUUUGGAAUAGAAAUGAAAUUCAUGUUCAGAUAUGGG
This 472-nucleotide long non-coding RNA is filed under the name Erythranthe guttata (spotted monkey flower). Its description in RNAcentral is "long non-coding RNA (EGUT_LNC003368)". The record is from RNAcentral. Lineage: Eukaryota; Viridiplantae; Streptophyta; Magnoliopsida; Lamiales; Phrymaceae.